AUUUAUCAGAUUCAAAACUAGAAGUGCAUGAUAUCAUUCCGGAGAAAAAUGUCAGAUUUUCUCUUUUUCGUUUGUUAUGACAAACCGUUAUUGUUGAUUAAAAUUGAAUUAAUUACUGGUCACUCCAUUAACUUUCAUGCGCUCGACAGUUUACUCCAUUAACUUUCAAUUUCAAUCGAUUACUCCAUUAACUAUCCAAUGUCACACAAUUAGGUCCAUCCGUUAAGUCGCCGUCCAAAUCAGUGGUUAAGUUGCUGACUGGGCAUAUUUUUCAACUGGAAAUUCCAUUUAACACCCCACUUCUCUCUCUCUCUCUCUCUCU
Molecule: long non-coding RNA, 322 nt
Filed under: Fragaria vesca (wild strawberry)
Lineage: Eukaryota; Viridiplantae; Streptophyta; Magnoliopsida; Rosales; Rosaceae
Description: long non-coding RNA (FVES_LNC000306)
Source: RNAcentral